RNAcentral lists this ribosomal RNA (1355 nucleotides) under metagenome. RNAcentral's name for it is "bacterial LSU rRNA". It matches the Rfam family "Bacterial large subunit ribosomal RNA", at positions 1564 to 2925 of the family's 2925-position model. The record is from RNAcentral.
UGAGUCCGAGGAGCUACGGCUCUUAAGUGAUACGAGUCAGACUUCCCAGAAAAGCCCGAACCACGUUAAUCUCUAAUUACCUGUACCCGAAACCGACACAGGUAGGAGGGUAGAGAAUACCAAGGGGCGCGAGAUAACUCUCUCUAAGGAACUCGGCAAAAUUACCCCGUAACUUUGGGAGAAGGGGUGCCACCGCAAGGUGGUCGCAGUGAAGAGGCCCAGGCGACUGUUUACCAAAAACACAGGUCUCCGCCAAGUCGCAAGACGCAGUAUGGGGGCUGACGCCUGCCCAGUGCCGGAAGGUUAAGGAAGUUGGUUAGUUUCGACGAAGCUAGCGACCGAAGCCCCGGUGAACGGCGGCCGUAACUAUAACGGUCCUAAGGUAGCGAAAUUCCUUGUCGGGUAAGUUCCGACCCGCACGAAAGGCGUAACGAUCUGGGCACUGUCUCGGAGAGAGGCUCGGCGAAAUAGGAUUGUCUGUGAAGAUACGGACUACCUGCACCUGGACAGAAAGACCCUAUGAAGCUUUACUGUAGCUUGGAAUUGGGUUCGGGCUUCCCUUGCGCAGCAUAGGUGGGAGGCGUUGAAGUUUUUCCUCGUGGGGAAAAUGGAGCCAACGGUGAGAUACCACUCUAGGGAGGCUAGAAUUCUAACUUAGACCCGUAAUCCGGGUUAAGGACAGUUUCAGGUGGGCAGUUUGUCUGGGGCGGUCGCCUCCUAAAAUGUAACGGAGGCGCCCAAAGGUUCCCUCAGUACGGUUGGAAAUCGUACGUAGAGUGUAAAGGCAAUAAGGGAGCUUGACUGCGACACCGACGGGUGGAGCAGGAACGAAAGUUGGGCUUAGUGAUCCGGCGGUUGCAAGUGGAAGCGCCGUCGCUCAACGGAUAAAAGGUACUCCGGGGAUAACAGGCUUAUCGCUUCCAAGAGUCCAUAUCGACGAAGCGGUUUGGCACCUCGAUGUCGGCUCGUCGCAUCCUGGGGCGGGAGUACGUCCCAAGGGUUGGGCUGUUCGCCCAUUAAAGCGGCACGCGAGCUGGGUUCAGAACGUCGUGAGACAGUUCGGUCCCUAUCUGAUGUGGGCGUUGGAGAAUUGAGAGGAUUUGUCCCUAGUACGAGAGGACCGGGAUGAACGUACCUCUGGUGUAGCUGUUGUCCUGCCAAGGGCACCGCAGCUUAGCUACGUACGGAACGGAUAACCGCUGAAGGCAUCUAAGCGGGAAGCCGUCCUCGAGAUGAAUUCUCCCAUCCUCUAGAAGGAGUAAGACCCCUGGUAGACCACCAGGUUGGUAGGCCGGCGGUGGAAGGGUGGCAACAUCCGUAGCUGACCGGUACUAAUGGGUCGAGGGCUUGACGGA